CGUCUAGAGGCCUAGGACACCGCCCUUUCACGGCGGUAACAGGGGUUCGAAUCCCCUAGGGGACGCCA
RNAcentral lists this transfer RNA (68 nucleotides) under Escherichia coli. RNAcentral describes it as "tRNA-Glu". It matches the Rfam family "tRNA", at positions 9 to 71 of the family's 71-position model. From Rfam's summary of the family: Transfer RNA (tRNA) molecules are approximately 80 nucleotides in length. Lineage: Bacteria; Pseudomonadati; Pseudomonadota; Gammaproteobacteria; Enterobacterales; Enterobacteriaceae. The record is from RNAcentral. RNAcentral also lists the same sequence under 13 other names.